This 337-nucleotide ribosomal RNA is filed under the name uncultured bacterium. RNAcentral's name for it is "bacterial SSU rRNA". It matches the Rfam family "Bacterial small subunit ribosomal RNA", at positions 568 to 898 of the family's 1533-position model. The record is from RNAcentral.
CAUGCAGGCGGUCGGACGCGUUUCCAGUGACAGCGGGUGGCUUACCUACCCGAGUAUUGGAAAGACGGUUUGACUUGAGGGCUCGAGAGGGACACGGAAUUCCGGGUGGAGUGGUGAAAUGCGUAGAGAUCCGGAGGAACAUCGAAGGCGAAGGCAGUGUCCUGGCGAGUGACUGACGCUGAGGUGCGAAAGCCAGGGGAGCGAACGGGGAUUAGAUACCCCCGGGUAGUCCUGGCCGUAAACGAUGACCACCAGGUGUGGGAGGUAUCGACCCCUUCUGUGCCGGAGGCAACCCACUAAGUGGUCCGCCUAGGGGGAGUACGGUCGCAAGAUUAAA